RNAcentral lists this unclassified non-coding RNA (245 nucleotides) under uncultured fungus. RNAcentral describes it as "partial contains 5.8S ribosomal RNA, internal transcribed spacer 2, and large subunit ribosomal RNA". The record is from RNAcentral. Lineage: Eukaryota; Fungi.
AACGCACAUUGCGCCCGCCGGAAUUCCGGCGGGCACGCCUGUCCGAGCGCCAUUUCACACCUCGAGCCCCCGUGCUCGGUGUUGGGCGACGCCCGUGAGGGCACGCCUCGAACGCGUAGGCGCCGGCGCCCAGGCCCGGGAGCAACGAGCUUAACCGCACGCGACCGGGACUGCUGGCGGCGGCCGCCCCUUCAAAACCCCCAACGCAUGGCCUCGGAUCAGGCGGGGUUACCCGCUGAACUUAA